This 21-nucleotide microRNA is filed under the name Schmidtea mediterranea. Its description in RNAcentral is "sme-miR-2160-1-3p". The record is from miRBase by way of RNAcentral. Lineage: Eukaryota; Metazoa; Platyhelminthes; Tricladida; Dugesiidae.
UUUUUCAUGUAAGAGCCCAAA